This 531-nucleotide unclassified non-coding RNA is filed under the name Hevea brasiliensis (rubber tree). The record is from RNAcentral. Lineage: Eukaryota; Viridiplantae; Streptophyta; Magnoliopsida; Malpighiales; Euphorbiaceae.
AUAGGCAUUCCUGAUCGUACUGCUGCUGAAUUUUUUGUUCCUGAACCCAACCCGAAAUUUGUCAACAAGCUUUUCGUCAAUCAUCCCGACAGGUUUAGGCAAUAUGGAUUGUGGGAUAGGUACUCCGAGCUAUAUCCAGCGGAUGAUCUUGUGUAUGUAACUGGAGAAAGUGACUAUACCAAAGACUGGUUUUUCGCUCAGGUUCCAAGGAGAAAAGAGGACGGCUCAUAUCAAGGAACGACAUGGCAAAUCAGAUUUAAACUUGAUUCAGUCAAUCAAGGAGGCACGUAUAAAUUGCGUAUUGCAAUUGCAUCUGCAACUUUAGCUGAAGUACAGGUUCGGGUGAAUAAUCCAAGCACAAAUCGACCUGUAUUUUCAACCGGAUUGAUUGGAAGAGACAACUCAAUUGCUAGACACGGAAUUCACGGAUUAUAUUGGCUAUACAAUAUAGACAUACAGGGAAAUCUGUUAGUACAAGGGGACAACACCAUUUACUUAGGCCAACCAAGAAACCAAAGUCCUUUCCAGGGG